AUAUCAAUAAGCGGAGGAAAAGAAACUAACAAGGAUUCCCCUAGUAACUGCGAGUGAAGCGGGAAGAGCUCAAAUUUAAAAUCUGGCGCAAGCCCGAGUUGUAAUCUAUAGAAGCGUUUUCGGCCGUUGGACCUGGACAAGUCCCUUGGAACAGGGCGUCAUAGAGGGUGAGAAUCCCGUGCUUGCCAGGCUGCCAACGUCCUUGUGAUACGCUUUCGAAGAGUCGAGUUGUUUGGGAAUGCAGCUCAAAACGGGUGGUAAAUUCCAUCUAAAGCUAAAUAUUGGCGAGAGACCGAU
RNAcentral lists this ribosomal RNA (297 nucleotides) under uncultured Dacrymycetes. Its description in RNAcentral is "partial 28S ribosomal RNA". It matches the Rfam family "Eukaryotic large subunit ribosomal RNA", at positions 40 to 338 of the family's 3401-position model. Lineage: Eukaryota; Fungi; Basidiomycota; Dacrymycetes. The record is from RNAcentral.